AACGAACGCUGGCGGCAUGCCUAACACAUGCAAGUCGAACGAGACCUUCGGGUCUAGUGUCGCACGGGUUCGUAACGCGUGGGAACCUGCCCUUAGGUUCGGAAUAACUCCCCGAAAGGGGUGCUAAUACCGGAUAAUGUCUUCGGACCAAAGAUUUAUCGCCUUUGGAUGGGCCCGCGUUGGAUUAGCUAGUUGGUAGGGUAAAAGCCUACCAAGGCGACGAUCCAUAGCUGGUCUGAGAGGAUGAUCAGCCACACUGGGACUGAGACACGGCCCAGACUCCUACGGGAGGAAGCAGUGGGGAAUAUUGGAAAAUGGGCGAAAGCCUGAGCCAGCAAUGCCGCGUGAGUGAUGAAGGCCUUAGGGUUGUAAAGCUCUUUUACCCGGGAUGAUAAUGACAGUACCGGGAGAAUAAGCGCCGGCUAACUCCGUG
Molecule: ribosomal RNA, 433 nt
Filed under: uncultured bacterium
Lineage: Bacteria
Description: partial 16S ribosomal RNA
Rfam family: Bacterial small subunit ribosomal RNA
Source: RNAcentral